UUAUUAUUAUUAUUGUAUUUUAUAUUAAAUUCUUGUUUUUAAUAAAUAAAUUAAUAGAUUGGAUUCUUCGAAAUUCACGAUUUGAUCUGACUAAUUAACAAUAACAGAGAGUUAAAUGAAAGGAAAUAGAUUGUACACAUACUAAAUGCAUUUUUGUGUAGAUUCUAUUUUAAUUUGCCCAAUUAGUUUAGCAGAAGUGUGGAGGCCCUCGGAUAGUCUAAUAAACACCAAAUGAUCGGUCUGUAGGGAUCAUUUACUUGAUUUUUUGUUUCAUCAAUUUGGUCUAAAGCCUUGUAGGGUUGCAAAACUGCAAUUCAGGUUCGUCCAUUCCCUAAGGGGAAUAUCAUAUACACUAGCUGACCUUAGAGCUGUAAAAUUAAAAUAAAGUUAACAAAGGUAAACAAAAAUUGUUAAAUAACCAAAAAGGACGAUUCCAUUCCGUUCUCUUUGACAAGUCAGGUUAUCAGUUGGCUAGCAAAAAUCAUAGAAAAAAAAAAAUUGGAAAUUAAAAGGAAUCUGAAGAUUGAUUAUUGAAUUUCCCACUCCAACGUAAAUUAGCAAAACAAACUCUUGAAACUAGAAAAGUACGAUCCAUAUACCAUUUAUAUUGCAUUGUUACCUGCGUAAUAAAAGGAGUUUCAUCUAACUCUAGAGGCUCAUACAAGCCAGUCGAAAGGUGCUAAGAUACUUUAGGAAGGAUAAGGCAUAGCUGAAGGAAGAAGGAGGAUGUCAAGACAGAUAAAAAAGCUCAUGAGAAGCUGCAGGUUUGAAGUAUUGAUAUGCUUAAUUGAUACUAUGCCCAUGGAGAAAAAGAUGAUAAUUUUCAAAGGGGCAGUUAUUGGAAGCUUGAACAGUAAGUAUGGACUGUUGACAUUUUCUUUUUUAUGUUCCGUAACUUCUCACUUAUCCUCUCAACUUGAAUUUCUAAUUCAAAAUUCUCUCAUAACUGUUGCCGCCCUCUUAUAACGCCCAACUGCUCCUGAUGGUGGAAUGGUUAUAUAAAUGUGUCAUCUAGAUAAUCCUCAUAAAAAAUUCACACCAUCUAAUAUGAGGUUGAGUGCUUAGAAGACUCACCGGAAAGCAAUGUCGACAACGUUAGUUGACUCCGACAUCAACUACAGAUCCUCAACAAUGGCUGGAGAGGGUCGAUUGCUGAUGGAAAUAGGAGAAAGUGCAUUCACGACUACUCAAGGACAGAAGUCUCAUCAAGCCAAUAAAAAGUUGAAAGGAAAGGCUCCACUUGACUCUGACAUCAAAAAAGAAUUUAAGUGUCGCUCUUUGGAAAGAAGGGGCAUAUAAAGAAAGAUUGUGUCAAGUUUCAACGAUGGCUUGAGAAGAAAGGACUUAAAAAACCUACGGAAGCCAGUGGGAGCUGAGCGAAGCAUCUAUUCAGGAAACAAGAUGCAGUCGCGUGUAGAAGCUAUUGGAACAUGCAAUUUAGUUCUUAGUAGUGGUUUUAUUUUAGAGUUGGAAAAGAACUUUUAUGUUCCUAACUUUUCUAGGAAUUUAAUUUCAGUAUCAAGACUUGUACCUUUGGGAUACUCCUUCUUUCUAGAAGGUUAUUCUAAUCUAUUUUAUAAAUCUAAACUUGUUGGAUA
Molecule: long non-coding RNA, 1598 nt
Organism: Capsicum annuum
Lineage: Eukaryota; Viridiplantae; Streptophyta; Magnoliopsida; Solanales; Solanaceae
Exons: 5
Source: RefSeq, a predicted model, not a curated record